RNAcentral lists this non-coding RNA (31 nucleotides) under Rattus norvegicus (Norway rat). Lineage: Eukaryota; Metazoa; Chordata; Mammalia; Rodentia; Muridae. The record is from RNAcentral.
UGGAAAUGGCUCCUACUUAGUGGUCCUACCC